GUGGUAGCUCUCCAAGCCCUGUCCAAAUAUGGAGCAACAACUUUCACAAAAAAGUAAGAUGGCAGUUUCAGUCACUGUCAAAUCUUCUAACACAUUCUCUGAAGAAUUCCACAUAGAUGAUGACAAUCGCCUGCUGCUGCAGGAGGUCAUGCUGUCUGAGAUUCCAGGGGAUUAUGACACCACAGUGUUGGGGUCAGGAUGUGUGUACCUCCAGACUUCACUAAGAUAUAACAUCCUUCCCAAGAAAGAAGGGAAAGUUCCCUUCACUCUGCAUGUUGAUUCUCAUCCCAAAAUUGUGAUGGAGUAGAUGCUCACAGGAAAUUCCAGAUUCAUAUCAACAUUAGUUAUACUGGCGAAAGACCCAGCUCCAACAUGGUUAUUGUGGAUUUGAAGAUGAUAUCAGGCUUCAGUGAAAAAGCUUCAAGAACAGCCUGAGAUUCAAAGGACUGAAGUGAGGACCAAUCCUGUCGUAAUCUACCUUAGGAAGCUAACCAAUCAAGCCCUGAGUUUCUCCUUCUUGGUGGAACAAGACAUGCAAGUAAAGAAUUUAAAACCAGCUAUAGUAAAAGCCUAUAAUUAUUAUG
This is a long non-coding RNA of Marmota flaviventris (yellow-bellied marmot), 584 nucleotides long. RefSeq lists it as uncharacterized. The record is from RefSeq and is a predicted model, not a curated record. NCBI's taxonomy places the organism in Eukaryota, Metazoa, Chordata, Mammalia, Rodentia, Sciuridae.